This 289-nucleotide ribosomal RNA is filed under the name uncultured soil bacterium. RNAcentral describes it as "partial 16S ribosomal RNA". It matches the Rfam family "Bacterial small subunit ribosomal RNA", at positions 26 to 307 of the family's 1533-position model. The record is from RNAcentral.
AGAACGAACGCUGGCGGCGCGCCUAAUACAUGCAAGUCGAGCGAGAAGACGUAGCAAUACGUUUGUAAAGCGGCGAACGGGUGAGGAAUACAUGGGUAACCUACCCUCGAGUGGGGAAUAACUAGCCGAAAGGUUAGCUAAUACCGCGUACGCUCCUUGGACUUCGGUUCAGGGAGGAAAGCGAUACCGUGGGUAUCGCGCUCUUGGAUGGGCUCAUGUCCUAUCAGCUUGUUGGUGAGGUAACGCUCACCAAGGCUUCGACGGGUAGCUGGUCUGAGAGGGACAUCAG